This 3611-nucleotide ribosomal RNA is filed under the name Triticum aestivum (bread wheat). RNAcentral describes it as "partial small subunit ribosomal RNA". Lineage: Eukaryota; Viridiplantae; Streptophyta; Magnoliopsida; Poales; Poaceae. The record is from RNAcentral.
AUCGGUGCAGGGUGCGUUGCACGCGUGCGUGCGGGUGCGAAAAAGAGGCGCUCAGCGGAGCGAGCGGGCCGCGUGGGUGAGCGAGAGAAAAGAAAAGGGGAGGCGAGCGGCCAGACCUAGCCCCCGCCGCCGCAACACCUGCCGCCGCCUCCUCUCCUACCGCCGCCGCCUCUUCGUCGGUGCUAUCGAAGCCUGGGCUACGUGAGCGCGCAAGCUGCUGGUGGUGCUUGAGGCAAGGCUGCUGGGGCACGGUGCCUCCACGGGGCCGGGGACAGGUACGCGCGCUCGCCGCGGCGGGAACGAGAGUUGUCCCCACUCCUUCUGUUCCUCAUCGCCGGCGUCCUCUCAGCCUUGGCCUCAUUGCUCACGGGAGAGAGAGAGAGAGAGAGGAGGAGAAGGAGGCGGCGGCGGCCGCCGCGGCCAGAAGGAAUAAGGGGGUUGGGGCGUUGGUCCUCCGCGACAACAUCCAGCCUUCUCCUCGUCGCAGUCGCGUGGUCCUCGACGACGACUCCCUUGCGCUCCUCCUCCUCCGCAUCGACAGGACUCUCUCUAGCCUCUCGCUCCACCUCCUCGCACACUCCUGCAGAUUAUCUUGGCAAUCAAGCCAAUAAAUCAAAAGGAGACAAAGGAAAAUGUGUGACCAAAGGAGUCAAGCAAAAGCACACCAAGCAAAUCACCACCAUUGAAGUUUCAGCAUCUGUUUUUCGUAGUUGGACUAAACCUGAUUAGAAGGAGAUGGUGCCCAGCGAUGGGGGUGCUUGGCCGCUGCCACCGCCUAGGAUGACCUCUUCGUCGGUGCUAUCGGGAGCCUAGAUUAUCUUGGCAAUCAAGCCAACAAAUCAAAAGGAGACAAAGGAAAAUGUGUGACCAAAGGAGUCAAGCAAAAGCACACCAAGCAAAUCACCACCAUUGAAGUUUCAGCAUCUGUUUUUCGUAGUUGGACUAAACCCGAUUAGAAGGAGAUGGUGCCCAGCGAUGGGGGUGCUUGGCCGCUGCCACCGCCUAGGAUGACCUCUUCGUCGGUGCUAUCGGGAGCCUAGAUUAUCUUGGCAAUCAAGCCAACAAAUCAAAAGGAGACAAAGGAAAAUGUGUGACCAAAGGAGUCAAGCAAAAGCACACCAAGCAAAUCACCACCAUUGAAGUUUCAGCAUCUGUUUUUCGUAGUUGGACUAAACCCGAUUAGAAGGAGAUGGUGCCCAGCGAUGGGGGUGCUUGGCCGCUGCCACCGCCUAGGAUGACCUCUUCGUCGGUGCUAUUGGGAGCCUAGGCUACGUGUCCGACGAGAACUCUGCGAGCAGGUGUAGAGGAGCAAGUUUUGGUUGGAAUUGAAAUUCCUGAAAGCAAGGCAACUGAAUGGAUUAAAGCUCGAAAGCUCAUACCUGGAUGGUUUUUGUCACACCAAAAUGAAGUAUAAGAAAACCUUAUAAAAGAAGAUACAUACCUGUCUGGGCGUCCUUGCUAUCGUCGUUUCCAACCCAUCCGCAGGGUCUGCCACUCUUGGGUGCCCUUUUGGGUAAUGGUCUAGCUGUUUCCUUGCAUCCAUGCUGCUGCAGGGUUGUAGUCGUACCCGUGUCCAUGGUUAUCACUCAUCAACUUGGUCGUGCUCAUGUGGACUAUUUAUUUCCAACAAUGCCAUCAAACCAUCAGAGGUUCCUCGCCGGUUUCCUUUUGCUGCACCUUUGUUUGGUUGCUCUAGGGUGAGAGGACCUCUCUGCGUCUGUAUGCUGAUUUGGUCAUGGAAUUCGAGCCUCAUUUACUGCACCUCUGGUUUGUGUAUUUUCAUGGAAUGCCACUCUCAAAUUAGUUUAGCUUUGUCCACACAUAUUAUGAUGUUUUGUGUCUAUUGCUGCCUUUGGCAUAUUUAAUCAUCUAUGUGUCUGCCAUGAAUUUAACAUGAAUAUAUUCCUGUUUUUUGUUACUUCUCUUGGCUUGGAUCACUAUGUUUGUUCUACCUUUGCCUUUCAAUACAUCAAGGUGAGCUUCACACAUCGUUCCCUCUGUUAUUAUAUUCAGGCAAUGAAGGAUCAGUACACGCCCAAUCUUCUGUGGCCUCCUCUCAUAAGAACUUCUACAUCGCUGUAUGAAAAUAGCUUUUCUUUGUCCAUGUGAUUAUUUGGGGAUUUUUGCCCAUAAAAAUAGCUUCUGAUGCCAAUACCGAGAUGUUAUUGAUGCAUGUGAGCCACUCUAAUUGACUGUAUUUUAGAAAUCGUGUACCCCACGAUUUUGGAAACCAUGUAAAUGAGUUAAUUGAGGACUGUAAGAUCCCUUAUCAGAUUAUAUCAUUUGUUGCUAACUCAUGUUCCUUCAAACGCUUGCAGGGUUGGAUUGGAUAUUCACAGAACUUUAUACCAUAUACUUUGGGCAUUGCUGAAACAACUGAAUGUCAAAGGUGCUUAUGGGUUGUCCUACAAUUUGUGUGGAUGUAUUUAGGUGUGGCGUUUAUGGUAGCUGCAGCAGCUUGUCAAUUAGUUCUUAGUCAAGGACAGGCACCAAUACAUGCUACCACUUAAUUCAGGUCAUGGUACCACUUAAUUCAGGCCAUUGUACCUGCAACGUCCGGUCUUCAUGGGAAUGCGUACCGUCGUCGAAUCCUAUUGACCCGCACUCGAUCCCGACCGUCGAUUGGGGUCGAUGAACCCGGUACACGGGACACGGCGUCGACCCGCGUUCCCGGCUACUAUGGUCUUAACGCGAGGAGGUGCCGAGAUACACGAGGGGUUGGAGCAGGACUGCAAGAGGAGUUGAGGACAUGUUUUGUUUUAGAUCCACCUGAUUAGUCCCAAGUUUUUGCAAGGUCUGCUUCUUAUGCAGAGGUUUCUUUUGAUGGGCAGCCUAGCCAAUUAAUUAUGUUUGGAUCACUCUGGGCAAUUCUCUCUGGAGUUGAGAGUACUCUGAGCACUGCCCAUAGCGUGCCACGACGACCGUUUGCACUAUAGGAGCCUCGCGACACAGUCCUCAUAUGAGAAGUGGGGAUUCCACCAGCAUUCUCACAAAUAGGUACUAUUCAUUUUGCUUCAGAGAGAUGUCGGUUGAUGCUGCGUUUAACUGGAUUUGGAAAGCUAAGUGCAAUAUGAAAUGGAAAGGUUUUCGCCUGGCUUCUCUUGGCUAACAGGCUGAAUAUGAGAAAUAUGCCACGCAGGAGGCACUACCGAGUUACUAAUGACUAUACAUGCCUGCUGUGUGAUAAUCCUCCCGAGGAAACCCUGGCAAUUCUCUAGGGUGACUUGGCCAAACUCUGAAUGCAGACUUGAGAUGUUGCACAUGGGAAAACAAACUUGGCACAAACCUCUGUUCAUGGAAACUUUCAUUGUUGCCGUAUGGGGGAUCUGGAUGGAGAGAAAUGACAAGUCCUUCAGAGGAAUGCCCAUGCAAGCAUUAUCCAACAAUAACAAGUCUUCUUAUUCAUGCAUGCACACCCUUAGAAGACCACAAUGGGCCUAAGAAAUCUUCUCUGCUCAAAUUAUGUAUGCUUAUCUAUAUGAGGCAUCUCUCCUAUGUUGCUUGCUUUUUAAAAGCAUUGUAAAUGGCUAUCAAAACUUCUUAUAACGCUGUGUAUCAGCAUCAUACCUAAGUAUAUAUUUCCUUAUAACUAAAUAUUCUGACGAGCUUGC